UCGCCGCGGACAGGUGGCGGGCCCUCCGCCGCCUCGCCAUUGGCCGGCAUCACGCCGGGUCCGGCGGAGGGGCCAGGGCAGCGGCGUCCGCGCGAGCGUCGAGCUGGCCAAUGAACGCCGCCGGGCGGCCCACGUGAACCGAGCUGUGGGAACCCGGGGCCAGCGGGGAUGAGGGCGCGGCGGAUGGGCGUGGGGGGCGGCGGCGUCGGAAGCAGCUGGUCCCACUCCGGUCGCUAGAACCGUACCCGCCAGCUGCCAGGACGCGCGGACCGACAGCUUAGCGUAGUCCUGUGAACCAGAUCCUUUGCAGUCCGUGGCAGCCCCAUCGCCGAACUGCCAAAGCUGCCUAUACAACCAGCUAGGGUUACGGAACGAUGGAAAAAAAAAUCCUCAGCACAGUACCGAAGACCUCUUGUGACUUUGCAUUUAACAAAGUCAUAAGCAAUUCAGAAGGAUCCGAUUACACCUUGUUUCCUAAGACCUUGUCCUGAGACACCUAGUUCUCCACGUCCUUUUCACAUUACACCAUCCUUCAUUUCUCUAUUCCUGAGGUUGCUGACCACAUUGUAACUGAGCCACAAACACAAGCUGCUUUGCUGGCUUUUUGGAAAAACAAUUUUCAUUGGAAUAAACCCAAAAUUGGCACUUCCUA
Non-coding RNA from Peromyscus maniculatus bairdii (prairie deer mouse), 652 nucleotides. The record is from RefSeq and is a predicted model, not a curated record. NCBI's taxonomy places the organism in Eukaryota, Metazoa, Chordata, Mammalia, Rodentia, Cricetidae.